GGAGGAUAUAGCUCAGUGGUAGAGCACAUGCUUAGCAUGCACGAGGUCCUGGGUUCGAUCCCCAGUACCUCCA
Molecule: transfer RNA, 73 nt
Filed under: Vicugna pacos (alpaca)
Lineage: Eukaryota; Metazoa; Chordata; Mammalia; Artiodactyla; Camelidae
Description: tRNA-Ala (AGC) (tRNA-Ala-AGC-614-1)
Rfam family: tRNA
About the family: Transfer RNA (tRNA) molecules are approximately 80 nucleotides in length. Their secondary structure includes four short double-helical elements and three loops (D, anti-codon, and T loops).
Source: RNAcentral